UGAAACCGUUUAGGGGUAAACCUGAGAAACCCGAAAGGUCGAAGGGAGAAAUUCAUUCGCGUUUCGGUGUCGGCUGCGUCGGUUACGUUGACGGGAAACGUUUUUUAAACGUUACCCGCUCGUUCUCUGACGUCGUUCCGGCGACGAACGCGUGCACUUUUCUCCUGGUAGGACGUCGCGAUCCGUUGGGUGUCGGUCUACACGGCUUCGGGUGGAGUUCGUCGGUUAACUCCUUACCGAGUUAACCGACGAACCUCGGACGCCCGACCGACUCGCUCGACGGUAUAAGAAAGGUUAGAGGCCGCUCUUUGUGGAGCGUUCGGCUCGCGGCAAGCGCGUCAGUUCGUGUUUGUCGGUGAUCGGACCCGGUGCCGAUCCUGACCGCUGACGACUGUUGGCCGCGAAGUUCUCGAACAGACCUCGCGACCGAUCGGCGACGCUAUAGCUUUGGGUACUUUCAGGACCCGUCUUGAAACACGGACCAAGGAGUCUAGCAUGUACGCGAGUCAUUGGGAUUAUCGCUAAACCUAAAGGCGCAAUGAAAGUAAAGGUGUUCCUCGCGAACACCGAGGGAAGACGGGCGGACCGGCCUUAAAACCGGCCGUUCAGCAUUCCCGGGGCGUCUCGUUCUCAUCGCGAGAAGAGGCGCACCAAGAGCGUACACGCUGGGACCCGAAAGAUGGUGAACUAUGCCUGGUCAGGACGAA
Molecule: ribosomal RNA, 707 nt
Filed under: Eidophelus sp. UFIFAS UFFE 13960
Lineage: Eukaryota; Metazoa; Arthropoda; Insecta; Coleoptera; Curculionidae
Description: partial large subunit ribosomal RNA
Rfam family: Eukaryotic large subunit ribosomal RNA
Source: RNAcentral